CUUUGCAUCGUCGAGAGUUUUCCACGGUCAAAGUCAAACGGUCUUCAGAGCCGUUACCCGCCCUUAGCUGGCGUCAAGCGGUCUUCAGAGCCGUUGCCCGGCCACCGCGCAUUCACACUCGUUAUAUAUAUCCCCCCGCACUCGCAUUCUCUUCUUCAGCACAUUCUCACACUAGUGUCCGAGUGCUCCAUCAACGGCCUCUUCUCCUUUGAGUGUUCGUUGCCGAAACCAAAAGCUAGGUCUACUAGGCAAUCGGAGGAAGAGAGAGCACAAGCGAAAGGAGUAGAGUGUUCGUUAUAUAUAUAUAUCCCCCCGCACUCGCAAUCUCUUCUUCAGCACACUCUCACACUAGUAUCCGAGUGCUCCAUCAACGGCCUCUUCCCUUUGGAGUGUUCGUUGCCGAAACCAAACGCUAGGUCUACCAGGCAAUCGGAGGAAGAGAGAGCACAAGCGAAAGGAGUAGAGAGAGCACAGGCGAAAGGAGUUUCUCACAUCGUCUCGGUGGUGAAAAAUAGAGAAGAGAGGAAGACGACGAACUCUGAUGUCAUUGAGAUUGGUGCCGAUAACGGAGAGGGGAAGAACGAAACAGUCGCUCUCGAUGAAGUGAUUGCUUGGGCAAAAGAAAAGCAGUUCGUCCUGUCACUGAGGCUGGACGGUACGAUUCAUGUAAAGUUUGUUGCAAACAGUUAGGGUGCAUGACAUAUCACCACACAAUACACAGAGGUAGAAGAAAGAAUUUGGUCAGCUGAACAGGAAAAGGCAGGGUCUAAGAAAGAAUUUGGUUUGCUGAAGAGGAAAAGGCAGAGUCUAAAAAAGAUGUAAGCUUCUGAUGUGGUUGCUUAAGAAGAUUUUGUGUCUUACAAGCUUGCUUCAUUAGAAAUUAUUAUAUGGUUGCAAGUCCCCUGACAAGAUGCAAUAAAACACAAAUUUUCAAAGUUGAUAUUUGGUGCUUAUUUAACCCGAGCACGAAAGCUAUCGAUUAGCCUACCAAAUUUGGAUCUUAUGGAAAUGGAGGGCAUAGAUAGAGAUAAUAAAGUUGAGGUCAUUGUACGAGGAAUCCAAUUCCGGUUGCUACUUUAAACACUCCAAUCACGUAAGAAAUUUUCUAUUUGACGUCAUGAACUACCAUAUAUGCGGCUUAGUUCUUACCGGAAUUACAUCUUUAGCAAUGUUGUGGUCCUGAUAAGGCUACUAAAACUGGAGGGCCAUAUGGAUCCAUCAAUGAUGAUUCUGGAACAGUUUUCAAGUAUGGUAUUACAUUAUUUGUUUUGAAUCAUUAACCUUCUACGUUUUUUAGUUCCGAAAUUAUUUUCAGCCAUCAUAGGGUACUGUUCAGCAUAAAUAGUAUAGUUCUAUAUAACUAGCGAUUCACUCUAACACGUUUCUUCUUAAAUCU
Molecule: RNA transcript, 1396 nt
Organism: Cucurbita maxima (winter squash)
Lineage: Eukaryota; Viridiplantae; Streptophyta; Magnoliopsida; Cucurbitales; Cucurbitaceae
Exons: 7
Source: RefSeq, a predicted model, not a curated record